This 1742-nucleotide ribosomal RNA is filed under the name Myxobolus episquamalis. RNAcentral describes it as "SSU rRNA". It matches the Rfam family "Eukaryotic small subunit ribosomal RNA", at positions 162 to 1671 of the family's 1831-position model. Lineage: Eukaryota; Metazoa; Cnidaria; Myxozoa; Bivalvulida; Myxobolidae. The record is from RNAcentral.
AGCUAAUACAUGUAAUAAAGGAGGAGAGAAAUCGAAUCUGAUGGCAUUUAUUAGACAAUUACCAAUCGUAGGGUAAAACCUAUGUGGUGAAUCUAGAUAACUUUGCAGAUCGUAUGGCCAAGAGCUGACGACAUUUCGAUUGAAUUUCUGCCCUAUCAACUAUUGUCGGUAGUGUAGUGGACUACCGAGGUUUUUACGGGUGACGGGGGAUCAGGGUUCGAUUCCGGAGAGGGAGCCUGAGAAACGGCUACCACAUCCAAGGAAGGCAGCAGGCGCGCAAAUUACCCAAUCCAGACAAUGGGAGGUGGUGACGAAAAGUACCGGAUGACGAUCAAUGAUUGUCAAUUCGGAAUGGAAUCAAUUUAAGCAAUUGGUUGAGAAACGACUGGAGGGCAAGUCUGGUGCCAGCAGCCGCGGUAAUUCCAGCUCCAGUAGCGUAUCUCAAAGUUGCUGCGCUUAAAACGCUCGUUGUUGGAUCACAAACUAUGCAACGGUUGAUAUGACGGUUAGUCAAAAAUGAAGAUUUGGCAGUAUGUCAUCAUAUUGUUGAUGAUUCAUCUGGGUUAUCGUGAUAUCAUAAGCUGGGGUGUAGUAAUUGCAUGUGAGGAUAGAUAUUGGCCUUGAGUGAGCUGAUGUUUGUGUCUCGCAGAGUGUGCCUUGAGUAAAUCAGAGUGCUUAAAGCAGGCUUGACGCUUGAAUGUUAUAGCAUGGAACGAACAAUCGUGUAUGGUGUAUAUUGGGUAUUGAUUGGUAGACUCGUUUAUCAAUCAUCAAUGUACGACACCGACCACCAAUGAACGGAUGUUGGUUCCGUCAUGGGGUAUCGAUUAAGAGGAGCGGUUGGGGGCAUUGGUAUUUGGCAGCGAGAGGUGAAAUUCUUGGACCUGUCAAGGACUAACAAAUGCGAAGGCAUCUGUCCAGACCGUAUCCAUUAAUCAAGAACGAUAGUGAGAGGUUCGAAGACGAUCAGAUACCGUCCUAGUUCUCACCGUAAACUAUGCCGACCCGGGAUCAGUUUGGAGCUUUGUUCCAUGCUCGGAGUUGGUCCCCCUGGGAAACCUAAAGUUUUUUGGUUGCGGGGGGAGUAUGGUCGCAAGGCUGAAACUUAAAGGAAUUGACGGAAGGGCACCACCAGGGGUGGAGCCUGCGGCUUAAUUUGACUCAACACGGGAAACUUACCUGGUCCGAACAUCCGAAGGAUACACAGACUAAUAGAUCUUUGUUGAUGGGGUGAAAAGUGGUGCAUGGCCGUUCUUAGUUCGUGGAGUGAUCUGUCAGGCCAAUCCCGGUAACGAACGAGACUACAUUCUCCAUUUGACGAAUUAGAGAAGACCGGUUAUGAGCAGUUGGCGACAAUUGUUAUGUAAUUUGGUUGUGGGAAGUAUGAGCGACGUUGUUCGGAGACCAAUUGUGGCAACAUGGUUGGAGGAAGGCUGCUAGCUUAUACUCCCUCUGGUUUAGCAAUGUACAGUGUACGUUGUAUCAUGGAGAGACAGCGGAAUAUAUUACAAAAUCCGAGGAAGUGUAGCUAUAACAGGUCCGUGAUGCCCUUAGAUGUUCAGGGCUGCACGCGCGCUACAAUGAUGGCAACAACGAGUUUCUAAAUCGAAAGAUUUGGGUAAUCUUGCAAUUGUCAUCGUGAUGGGGAUCGACGUUUGUAAAUACGUCGUGAAAGAGGAAUCCCUAGUACGUGCGAUUCAUGCAGAUCGCGCGGAUUGCGUCCCUGCCCUUUGUACACACCG